AUGCAAGUCGCGCGAUGAAGUUUUUUGCUUGCAAGGAACGGAUUAGCGGCGAAAGGGAGAAGUAACGUGUGGAUCAUCUACCUCUAGAACUGGGAUAGCUGCGGGAAACUGCAGGUAAUACCAGAUAAUAUCUCCGGAUCAAACGGUGAGAUUCCGCCUAGAGAUGAGUCCGCAUCCCACUAGCUUGUUGGUGAGGUAACGGCUCACCAAGGCAUCGAUGGGUACCGGGUGUGAGAGCAUGGCCCGGCUCACUGGGACUGAGACACUGCCCAGACACCUACGGGUGGCUGCAGUCGAGAAUCUUCGGCAAUGGACGAAAGUCUGACCGAGCGACGCCGCGUGCGGGACGAAGGCCUUCGGGUUGUAAACCGCUGUCAGUUGGGAGGAAAUGCUAUGGGGCAAUCUCCAUAGUUUGACCUAUCAUCAGAGGAAGGACGGGCUAAGUUCGUGCCAGCAGCCGCGGUAAGACGAACCGUCCAAACGUUAUUCGGUAUCACUGGGCUUAAAGGGUGCGUAGGCGGCUUGAUAAGUAAGGUGUGAAAGACCUCGGCUCAACCGAGGAAUUGCGCUUUAAACUGUCAGGCUUGAGGAAGGUAGAGGUAAGCGGAACUUGCGGUGGAGCGGUGAAAUGCAUUGAUAUCGCAGGGAACACCAGUGGCGAAGGCGGCUUACUGGGCCUUUUCUGACGCUGAGGCACGAAAGCUAGGGUAGCGAACGGGAUUAGAUACCCCGGUAGUCCUAGCCGUAAACGAUG
This 754-nucleotide ribosomal RNA is filed under the name uncultured Planctomycetota bacterium. RNAcentral's name for it is "bacterial SSU rRNA". It matches the Rfam family "Bacterial small subunit ribosomal RNA", at positions 55 to 811 of the family's 1533-position model. The record is from RNAcentral. Lineage: Bacteria; Pseudomonadati; Planctomycetota.